This is a long non-coding RNA of Athene cunicularia (burrowing owl), 306 nucleotides long. Lineage: Eukaryota; Metazoa; Chordata; Aves; Strigiformes; Strigidae. The record is from Ensembl.
UGCAAACUCCCAAGCUAAACAAGGCAUUCUUACAUAUUUAACAUUCAAAUGCAGAAGCCAAGCUAAACCAUGGAAGAUUGUAAUCCGAAAAAAGCUACACUUCCUGAUCCACACAAAAGCUACAGGUUCUUUAAACAGGAGACAGGUUGCUAUCAUUUUGGGCUGAAGUCUGGAGGUUAUUUUGGAAUGUGAAAACUACUUGUUGCUUGGAUCCAUGACAAUCACGUAGAUGCUAUUCAUUCACUUUAAUGAUCUACACCAACAUGGUAAGCUAUAUACCAAAGACUGGGUCUCAGGUCACUUGCU